Long non-coding RNA from Corvus hawaiiensis (hawaiian crow), 1267 nucleotides. RefSeq lists it as uncharacterized. The transcript is spliced from 4 exons. Lineage: Eukaryota; Metazoa; Chordata; Aves; Passeriformes; Corvidae. The record is from RefSeq and is a predicted model, not a curated record.
UGAACAAGCCUUGAAUUUGUCUGUGCUGCACAAACCCUCGGGGUUAUUACAUGGGCAAUGUUCUUAAUAACAGGAGAGGCUCAGUAAAUGGGUUUGACUCUGAGCAGAGAAGCCAACAAGCCAUGGAGAAUAACACGUUCUGAGCAGAGGAAUAUUGUGGAGUGUAAACAGUUGGCUUUUGCCUCAUCUGGGUUCUCCUUAGAGCUGUACCAUGAUGAACGUGACUCGCAGGAAGAUGCUGCCAGAAGAUUCCAACUUAUCUCAACUUAGGAUCCAUCAAAGCCGUGUUAAAGUUGGGUCUCGGGCAUUGAGUCAGCAGUUUACGUUCCUGUGGGAGGGAGUGUCGUCUCAACCACAGUGGGAGCGGUGCAUGGUGCAUGCAAAUAACUCUGAACACAUCAGCUCUUCAGGGUGGAUUUUGGAUGAAGAUGGAAGGAAAUCACACAGGAUGUGCUGACGAGAAGAAGGAAGUGGUUUUGAGGAUGACAUUGAGCGCUGCAAGGGGGAUGCCAGACGUGUUGGAUUCACAUGAAGAGUUGGUGUUCCUGCCAGUGAACACCCCCCGAGCUGCCCCUGCCUCCCGAGCCUCAGAGCAGCCGCGGGCACGAACAACUCGGGGAGCUCCGAGUGCGCCUCCGGAGCGAACACCCCCAAACAGCCCCGUCCCCUCUGGCUCCAGGGGGGUGUUAUUGCAAAACCUGCUCAGGAACUGAAACUUUUGAAACCUUCCCGAGCUGAUUGGUGAAGGCUUCACCUCCUGAGAGUCCUGUUCAACCCGGGACACAUCAUGUGGGAAGCAGGCAGCGCGUGGGGAGGUGUUAUUAUAGAAACAGGGCCAAGCACUUGACUCCUGGGGAACUGGAGGCUGCCUUGGCCAUUUUGAAGUGAUUACAGCAAGCAAGGAAGGCUUGGGAGAAAUCACGGAUCGAGGAACACGGACUAACACCUCCUGGCCAGCCCAGCCCAGCACUGGAUGGAGCAGGGCCGAGCUGCCCCAGUCCCAGAGGGGUCUUUUCUGUCGGGAUUAUCCCUCUGCUCCCAUCCUCACUCCCCCACUCCCCUCCUUUGCUUCAAGGCAGUGCAGGCAGCCCUCAGGGCCUCAGUGCCCGAGGCUGUUCACAGACAUCUUGUUUUCUCUUUUCAUGUCACAGUUUGUCUAGCAGAAUCAUUCCUUUUUUUUAAUGUUUAAAUGCCUUUUUAUGUGAGAAAAAGGUGUACAGUGAAAUCUCAGUAAACGGCUACUGAAGUGUGCUGCUUUAUAAGUCUG